Molecule: ribosomal RNA, 282 nt
Filed under: uncultured Sphingomonas sp.
Lineage: Bacteria; Pseudomonadati; Pseudomonadota; Alphaproteobacteria; Sphingomonadales; Sphingomonadaceae
Description: partial 16S ribosomal RNA
Rfam family: Bacterial small subunit ribosomal RNA
Source: RNAcentral
GCAACCCUCGACUUAGUUACCAUCAUUAAGUUGGGUACGUUUAAAGUAACCGCCGGUGAUAAGCCGGAGGAAGGUGGGGAUGACGUCAAGUCCUCAUGGCCCUUACGCGCUGGGCUACACACGUGCUACAAUGGCAAGUACAGUGGGCAGCAAUCCCGCGAGGGUGAGCUAAUCUCCAAAACUUGUCUCAGUUCGGAUUGUUCUCUGCAACUCGAGAGCAUGAAGGCGGAAUCGCUAGUAAUCGCGGAUCAGCAUGCCGCGGUGAAUACGUUCCCAGGCCUU